This 656-nucleotide long non-coding RNA is filed under the name Homo sapiens (human). Its description in RNAcentral is "non-protein coding lnc-KRT24-1:1". The record is from RNAcentral. Lineage: Eukaryota; Metazoa; Chordata; Mammalia; Primates; Hominidae.
GGUGGGUUCUUCUCUGGUAAGAAGAAGGAUGCAGUGUAAAAUCUAGAUGACCAUGUUGCAGUUUCCCUGGACAAGGUCUCAACUCUGGUGCAGGCAAAGAGUACACUUGAAUAUAAAAUCAAAGAAUGGAAUAAGAAAUUUGAGCCUGGGCUAAUGAUCAAGGAGAAAAACAGGACAACAAGAAGUAUUACCAGAUAAUUACAGAACUUAAAAAAUUUCAGAUGCAAACACUGACAAUGCAACUUCAUGCUACAGAUCGUCAGCGUAAAACUAGCAGCUGUGGACUUCAGACAGAGAUUGAACUGACCCUGCGCUGGAGCGUCAAGCUGACAUCAACAGUCUGCACCAAGUCCGGAAUGACAUGACUUUGUCCAAGAUGAUCUAGAAAUGCAGAUUGAAACCCGGCGGAGGAGUUCACUCAUCUCAAAAAGAACCAGGAAGCAGGCUCUGAGUUGCAGGUGGAAUGGGUCAGCCCACCUGGAGCUGAUCUAACACAGCUCCUCAUGACAUGAGAAUGCACUAUGAAGCCAUGGCCAAUCACAAUCACCAAGAUGCUGAAAUUAGAUUCAACAAUCGCUGCUGCAUCCAAUUCUGCUAAGACUGAGACGAAUGUACAGGAGCCAGCCUUGUAGGCCCUGGAGAUUGAACUACAGUCU